AUGUUUCCCUCUUCUCCGCAGAAAAUGGCAAUGAUGGUGGAUCCCCCGAACGGCAUGGGAAACCACGGGAAGCACUACUACACCAUGUGGCAGACCAUGUUCGAGAUCGACACCAAGUACGUGCCGAUCAAGCCCAUCGGGAGAGGAGCCUACGGGAUAGUUUGCUCCUCGAUCAACCAGGAGACCAACGAGAAGGUCGCCAUCAAGAAGAUAAACAACGUCUUUGACAACCGCCUGGAUGCGCUGAGGACGCUGCGCGAGCUGAAGCUCCUUCGGCACCUGCGCCAUGAGAAUGUCAUUGCCUUGAAGGAUAUAAUGAUGCCGAUACAUAGGAGGAGCUUCAAGGAUGUCUACUUGGUCUCCGAGCUCAUGGACAUGGAUCUGCAUCAGAUAGUCAAGUCGUCUCAGCCGCUGUCCAAUGACCACUGCCAGUAUUUCCUUUUUCAGGUGCUCCGAGGACUGAAGUACCUUCAUUCAGCGGGGAUACUCCAUAGAGACCUGAAGCCUGGGAACCUUCUGGUCAAUGCGAACUGUGACCUGAAGAUCUGUGACUUUGGUCUGGCCCGCACAAAUAACACUAAAGGUCAGUUUAUGACAGAAUACGUUGUCACCCGCUGGUACAGAGCUCCCGAGCUGCUACUCUGCUGCGACAACUAUGGCACUUCCAUAGAUGUCUGGUCUGUUGGCUGCAUCUUUGCUGAGCUACUUGGCCGCAAGCCGAUCUUUCCAGGAACUGAGUGCCUUAAUCAGCUUAAGCUUAUAGUCAAUGUUCUUGGCACCAUGAGCAAGGCUGAUCUCGCGUUCAUUGACAACCCAAAAGCUGGCAACUACAUUAAAUCCCUUCCAUACACCCCGGGGAUGCCCCUCAGUAUCAUGUACCCGCACGCGCACCCUCUUGCCAUUGAUCUGUUGCAGAAGAUGCUUGUCUUCGACCCUUCCAAGAGGAUCAGUGUCACCCAGGCUCUGGAGCACCCCUACAUGUCCCCGCUGUAUGAUCCCAGCGCAAACCCUCCUGCUCAGGUGCCCAUCGAUCUCGACAUAGAUGAAAACAUUGGCACAGAUAUGAUCCGAGAAAUGUUGUGGCAGGAGAUGCUCCAGUACCACCCUGGGGCCGCCAGGAUGGUGAAUAUGUGA
Molecule: ribosomal RNA, 1134 nt
Filed under: Triticum aestivum (bread wheat)
Lineage: Eukaryota; Viridiplantae; Streptophyta; Magnoliopsida; Poales; Poaceae
Description: partial small subunit ribosomal RNA
Source: RNAcentral